Molecule: long non-coding RNA, 624 nt
Organism: Grus americana (Whooping crane)
Lineage: Eukaryota; Metazoa; Chordata; Aves; Gruiformes; Gruidae
Exons: 3
Source: RefSeq, a predicted model, not a curated record
CGAUCACCUCGCUCUCGAAGCACACCGAGCAGUCGCGGCUGCCCUUCCGCCGCACGCCGGACGACGAGCAGGAGGAGCUGGACGAGGAGCUGGAGGAGGAGGAGGAGGAAGCCGACGAGUCGGAGGGCAGCCCCGGCAGAUCACUACACUGUACUGAACAUCCAUGUACUGACGGAGAAGAAAGAAAACAAGUUAUCUUCAGAGUAUAUAUUGUGUGCACUUAGAUAAAGCUACCUCCCACUAUUCUCCUUCAUUCUGAAUAGAAAACUCAGAGGAGUUUUGAGACCUACACCAUAUGAAGUCACCAGCGCACCAAGAAGAAACAGAACAUCCAGCAGAGAUACUGUUGCUCCAGGAUGGACUAUUUGUUUCUAUACAAAUAAAACACAAUUAAAAAGCCUCUGGCAUGGCUGAUUUCAAUUGCUAAAUUAACAUCUCUGUUCUCAUUUCUGCAACACUUCUCUACUACUGAGUUUGUGGUUUCUUGCCUUCCACAUGAUGCAACCAGCUUCCGACCCUGAGAUUCCUCCCUUCGAUAGUCUUCAUUUCUCAUGAAACUCAGUCUCCAAACAUGAAACCCACUCUCACUAAUCUAUUUUCCGUUACCAAUAUACUAACAGGUAC